UUAGAUCACAUUCUCUGUUUUAUUCAAAGCUGAAGAAGUUAGACCAACCGUAGGUAGUUGAGAUGGAGGGAAAGAACUCCCAAGAGUUGAUCCUUUCAGCAGUAAAGCUACAUCUGGUGAUGAAUAAACGAUGAACUGGACCAAGGAGGGCCUUUGGGAGGAAUGCGUCUUCUUCCGACUGUCUGGAAUCAAUCAGCGUGCAGCCAGGUUAUCACACUCACUAGGUUGGGAGUUAUGUAUCAAUUAGUCUGUCUUAUGCUAGAAGACUGAUCAGGCAUGAGGAGUGCGGAGACAGCAUCUCCAAAGAGUAGAUGCAGAAAGAUACGUAGGCACCACAUCAUUAUAUUCAUCCUUAAAAUGUCAAGAUGUCUUCAAGCUGCAAUUGUUCUAUUGGAGCUAUAGUUCCUUCCAUAUUGGAAAAUCUCCUAGGACCAUUUGUGCCUUUAAAGCAGGAACCAAUAUUCUGAUUUUUGCUGCAAAGGCACGUGUGGUGGCUAUUAGUGGCUGCCCUGCUUGAAUUGUGAUGUGCAGGAGAAAGGCUAUUCUGAACGUCUUUUACCAGUGGAGGCUUUGUUUUGAAAAGAUUUCCUUAGCCUUUCGUCCAUGCUUAUCUUUAUUUAAUCUGGAUCUCAGUCUGAUGCCCUCUCAUUCUGAAAGGCUUCAGCAUUUUUUCUUAGUCAAUUUAAGAGCAAAGCUGGCCUGAGAGCACUGUAGGCCUGUUUCCCUUAUUACUAACUUGCCUUGAUCUUCAAGCCCUGGUUGUCCUGUGGUUGUGCUGUUGACAGUCAAGGCUGUCACUUCCAGGGUACUCCACCUCCCUUGGUGUCACCCACCAGACCAGCCUCCAGGCAGCCCAGGGAAAUCUCUGCCUGUGUAUCCACUGAGAGGUAGAGAAUCCACCGAGAGGUAGUUUGUCAUUGGUAGCUGUCAUUUCAGCCUUGGAGAUGUCUAGGGUCUUAUCCUCAUAGGGCUUUAGAGGCUUGAGACUCACUGAGGCUCACUUUUUGUUUCUCAAAGCCAUAAAAGAACUAAAUCAAACAUUAUUAACCUCUCUCUCCAGACCCUUUUUGGAAAUCUUUUCCAUAAUCCCAAGUACUUUCUUUCCAUUUUCAGUAUGAACAAAUGAUCCUACAUGUCCCUUGCCAUUGCUUCUGAAAACAUAUUUUUUUGGGAAAACAGUGUAGCAUCUUGAUGUCAUAUCUUAGUUAAAGCAGACUAAGUGACUUGAGAAGCAUGCAUUGGGCCUGUUUAGCAGGCCAUAACUCACUGGGGGGGCUGUGCCAAUAUGUGGUGUUAUUAAGACUUUUCCAUGAUUACAUUAGUGUAAGACUGUGUUAACAUUUAUGCAGCAUCACUAAAAUUUAAAUAGAGAUAAAUAUAAAAUAUUGCAAUUUAGUGUUUUGGUGGCAAGCCGACUGCUGUAUUCAAAAUGUUCUAGCUGGGCUUUUGAUGGCUCACUGGAGGGCAGUUACAGUGACAGCAUGGUAUGGCGCCAGAGCUUUUGGAAGUCAAAAGCAGGCUCCUGAACAUCAUGAAAAUGUCAAUAUUUUAUGCAAAGAGAAACUUGAUACAAGCUGGAAUUUCUCUAUACAGAUAAACUUUUCCUCAUCAACUAUUUGAGUACAUUGAGGUUCAGUUCAUAUUGGAAAGUUCCACCAGGGAUGUAUGGGAGCCUAUUUCCCCACAGCUUCACAAAUAUGCUACCAACUUUUGGACUUCUGCCAAUCUGAUAGGUGAGAAGCAAUACCUCGAUGUAGUUUUAAUUGGUCUUUCUUUUCUGAUGAGUGGCCUUGAGCGUUUUUUUCAUGCGGUUAAGCUAUUUAUAUUUCUUUUAUUCAGGAAACUGUAUGUGUCUGGCCCAUUUUUCUAUGGUUAUUAGUGUGUUUAGUCUAUAUUUUUAGAUGUCCUUUAUAUGUAUUAGGGAUAUUAAUGCUGCAUCUGUGAUAUGUUUCAAAUGUUUUGUCCAAUUUAUUAUUUUUCAAGAGCAUUUUAGACUAAACUCUCAGCUUGGAGAUUUUCAAGCCAGAAAAGGAAUAUGGUUUCCAGUCCAAAUAGCACUCUACGGCUGGCUUAAGUGAAGAAUUUUCUAGGGAAUUUUUCUCCCUUCCAUUAAAGAAAAAUUGCCUUAAUAUUCCUUUUGAAUGGAAGAUUCUCAUUUCUCUAAUUUUCCUUCUCAUGGCUGUAGGCUUUGUCUCCUGUCCCCCAACUUAGAACACCUGUUGAAACCAAAAACUCUCGGUCAUUAGGGAAUAAUAGCGUAUGUCUCCAGGACAGCUAUAACUUUCAGAGUUCCACAUCUCUUCAGAUUUGUGCUUUCCAUUGUAUUUGUCUUUAGGAUUUCUCUUACUUUGUUGCAGAGUCACCCCAUAAAGAAUAUGAAAUUGUUUUUUCCCCUGUAGUUAUGCAAAGCAGUGGGCCUACAAUUUGUCAGCUGAAUUGAGCAUUUAAAGAAAUGUUUAUUUAAUCCAUCAUCCUCAGGUAUUCUAAACCAAAAAUGCUUCUUGGGAAAUGUAAAGUACCAUUUACUAGAUACAGAAGCCUCCCAGUUCUGUUUUGUUUUAUUACUUAUUGUUUACAUUCUUAUUACAAAUAAUACAUACUCAUUGGAAGAAAAAUCAAACAAACAAUAAAAGAAAAGGUAAAGCUUCCCUAUUCUUAAGAGGCUUCAUUCCUCCCACCAAUUUUUGGCUAUUUCAGCUUUUGUCAGACCAUUUAGUUUGUACCACAUGAAACUUACCCUCUAUAAGUUGCUGUGUGUACCACAGACUUGGGUACCAUUUUUCACUCUCCAGAAGCUUUCAAUUUUAUUGGUGAAACAUGGAAAGAACAGACAUACAGACUUAGAAUUAGAUUAAAGAGUUGAAUACAGAAUUAGAUGUAUUAAAGAGACAGUUUAGGAUCCAGGCAAGUGCUAAUAAAGUUGAAAGGAAAGAACUUGUGGGCUGGAGUUAUUCAGGGAAGAAAUUAAGGAGGUAAUUGAUCACAAAGAAAAAUCAGAAGGCAGCCACAUAAACGAUGUGGAGGAGACAGGGGCAUAUCACGGAGAUAGAUGCAAAAGAAAUGCUGAAGGGACAUAUUCAUUAAGUAAAGUGGUGCCUCCCUGCCUGGAAUGAAGGUUUGGUUUCUGCAAUACUCAGGCUGGCUGGUCAGCUUAGAGCUCAUUUUCCAUUUGUCAUUAAUUGCCAUUUGAAAAAAGAAACCAGACUCUGAAUGUAUCCUGAAGAGCUAUGGCUAGCCAAUUGCCCAGGCCAAUCUUGGUUAAUUAAUAUGCUAAUUAAUUUAUAAGAUACAGAAUGGUUUGGGCACCUCCAGUGUCACUGGAGGAGUGUGAAAAAUUAGCUCCUGAAGUCAAGAGGUCAGAACUAGCUGUAGGGGUCACAUUUGAACUUUUAUUCAAAUGCUGGCAUCUCCAACAUAUGACCUCAUCCCAAUCUCUAGCCUUCUGUUCUCUGGGCCUCCUGCCAAGGGGGCUACACACUUAUUUCCAUAGCCUUCAAUUUAAAAGCGUCAAGGAGUGGUAUCUGAAUCAUUUACUAUUACAUCGUUAAAAUAGAAACAACAUUCUCCACUCAGCCCCCAUAUGCUAUCUGGAAAAACAUUUCAUUUUUUAAGUAUCAAUGUAUUUUUUUGUUUAUUUUUUUAUUCAGUAAUUAUUUCCAAGCAGUCAAUGGUAGGUCCUGUGCUAUUAUAUACUAGGGAGACAGCAAGAUUAAGGUAGAAAAUGAAUCCUAUUUUCCUAAUACCACCUAAUAGCGGUUCUCAAUGGUGAACAGGUAAUCAAAUGCAUGACUGUAAAUCAAGAUGAAUGCUAUGAAAAAGCAAAGGAAAUUUUAAAAGAAUUUAAAAAAUCUGGGAGAGAUUUUGGAAAUUUUAUUAACAUGAAUAUGUUCAGUUGUAAGUAACAGAAUAAGGAGUAACACUGGUUUUUAAAAAUCAGAAAUGAUUUACCGUCACAUAAAAGUCAGGAGUAGAUUGUUCCAAAAUCAGUACUGGCUAAACUAUAUCCUAAAGGACCUAGACUGCUUCUGCCUUUCCCUUCUGCUGCUCUCCUCAGCAUGUUGGCUUUUUGUCCUUGUGCUGUUUACUUACCUCAACUGGUCUAUGCUGGCUGCUGUAGUUCCAAGACAGCUGCAGUCAAGGCAGGAAGAGAGGGCAGGGUCUCCUUACUGUCUUUCUUUCUAUAUGAGAGCAGCAGCCUUCCCCAAAAAUCUCUCCUUAUGUCUCACUGGUCAGAACUAGGUCACCUGCCCAUCUCUAAAACAAUCUACACCCCCAGAGGAUGGGAUCACUGUGCUUGGUUUAGAUUAUGCAUGGCUCAUUUCCUGGCAUGAGGACACGGAAUCCCUUCCUGAACAUGGUGUUGCUGCCUUCACAAUAUAAAGGUUCCUUAAAAUAGAUGAAGAAAAGAGAAAUAAUUGUUUAGUAGGUAACAAUAGUGGAAAUAAAAAUCCACAGGAUUCAUUCACCAACUAAAUAACUAAAUAGGGAGAAAGAAGACUCAAAUAUCAUUCAGAAGUUUCAGGCUUGGGUUUAACUCCAACAAUCAUACUGCCAAGAAUAGAUAAAAAUAGAUUGUGGGAGGAAAACCUAGUUUGUGAGUGAGACAAAGAUGAAUUCUACUUUCUUCUUGGGUUUGAGGUGCAAUUAGACAGUCUAUUAGAUACGGAGGAUGGGACCUGAAGAAAAAGGUUGGACUUCAACAUAGACAUAGGAAUCGUCUACAGUGAAGGAGGAUCUGAAACAAUGGGAAUAAAUAGGUGGAGAAAAUGAAGAAAGAAAAGGGACAAGGCCAGAAAAGUCCUGGCGAAUAGUUAUAAUUAGGAGAUAGUAAGAAGAUGAUAUUGCCAUAAAGGGAAAAAGAGAGAGAGUAAUUAAUUGCAGGCAUACAAUGGAAGGUUUGAGAAAGAUCCAAACAGAACUCCUAGAAGUGGAAAAUAUAAUGACCACAGUGAGGAAUUCAGUAGGUAAGGUCAGUGAUUGACCAGACACGGCUGAAGAGUAAUGAAAUGAACUGGAAUACAGAAUUGAAGAAAUUA
Long non-coding RNA from Manis pentadactyla (Chinese pangolin), 5036 nucleotides. RefSeq lists it as uncharacterized. Lineage: Eukaryota; Metazoa; Chordata; Mammalia; Pholidota; Manidae. The record is from RefSeq and is a predicted model, not a curated record. The transcript is spliced from 3 exons.